RNAcentral lists this transfer RNA (71 nucleotides) under Simkania sp. RNAcentral describes it as "tRNA-Cys". It matches the Rfam family "tRNA". Rfam says of the family: Transfer RNA (tRNA) molecules are approximately 80 nucleotides in length. The record is from RNAcentral. Lineage: Bacteria; Pseudomonadati; Chlamydiota; Chlamydiia; Parachlamydiales; Simkaniaceae.
GGUGGCAUGGCCAAGCGGUAAGGCAGGAGCCUGCAAAGCUCCGAUCCCCAGUUCGAAUCUGGGUGCCACCU